CUACGGGGCGCUCCAGUAGGGAAUAUUGCGCAAUGGGGGAAACCCUGACGCAGCAACGCCGCGUGAGUGAUGAAGGCUCUAGGGUCGUAAAGCUCUGUCGUACGGGAAGAUUAUGACGGUACCGUACAAGAAAGCACCGGCUAACUUCGUGCCAGCAGCCGCGGUAAGACGAGGGGUGCUAGCGUUGUUCGGAAUUACUGGGCGUAAAGCGCAUGUAGGCGGUCUAGCAAGUCAGAUGUGAAAGCCCUGGGCUUAACCCAGGAAGUGCAUUUGAAACUGCUAGACUUGAGUAUCAGAGAGGGCAGUGGAAUUCCUGGUGGAGUGGUGAAAUACGUAGAUAUCAGGAGGAACAUCGGAGGCGAAGGCGGCUGCCUGGCUGAAUACUGACGCUGAGAUGCGAAAGCGUGGGGAGCAAACAGGAUUAGAUACCCGGGUAGUC
Molecule: ribosomal RNA, 439 nt
Filed under: uncultured bacterium
Lineage: Bacteria
Description: partial 16S ribosomal RNA
Rfam family: Bacterial small subunit ribosomal RNA
Source: RNAcentral